Molecule: long non-coding RNA, 546 nt
Organism: Hylaeus anthracinus
Lineage: Eukaryota; Metazoa; Arthropoda; Insecta; Hymenoptera; Colletidae
Exons: 2
Source: RefSeq, a predicted model, not a curated record
CUAAAAGAAAUGAUCGAACGAUAUUUUUGAAUUGCGAAGACAGAGCAACAGUUCAAAUAGAAAGUACCGUUUCAAUGAAACGGCGAUAUUGAUCAAAUCGAACUGUCCAACUGGGUAAACUAUCGGAGAAAGUUUGAGUUGUUCUGAGGAUCGGGACAAGAUGGACGAAGAAAGCAUGUGGCUGUUUAGCAACCUGUUCUGACUGUCAAUCUAUCGAUAAUCGUUAGUUCUGUUCGUUCCUUUGAGGCGUAGAUAAUCUAUAUUCUCUAUUCUAUUACAUAAUUUUAUGUCAGCAAGUAGAAUAUUUGUGUUUCUUAUAAAAAUCAACUUCACUGUGUGUUUUACCAAAUUUUACAAUAUAUGACAUGUUUAUAGAAUUUCAUUGACAGAAGUUUUCGGGUCUCGUUGUACGCUUACACUCCACUGUUUUGUUUGAUCCAAGAGCGGAGGUUAGCAACGUUGGAGUAAACACCUGGAUGCUUAGGCUGAGCGCAACCGUAACCCCAGGACACGAUACCAUAGAGGGUUCCUUGGUGUGCCAGGGGG